GUCCUGGCCCUAAACGUUGGGUACUAGGUAGUAGACUAGACAUAGGUUUACUUCCGAAGCAAAAGUGCUAAGUACCCCGCCUGGGGAGUAUGGUCGCAAGGCUGAAACUCAAAGGAAUUGACGGGGCUCACACAAGCGGUGGAGCAUGUGGCUUAAUUCGAGGCAACGCGAAGAACCUUACCUGGGUUUGACAUGUGCGAAAGCGGUGGGAAGUAGGACCCGGAAACGGGAACGAACGGUAUCCAAUCCGGAACUCAUCACAGGUGCUGCAUGGCUGUCGU
RNAcentral lists this ribosomal RNA (281 nucleotides) under uncultured bacterium. RNAcentral describes it as "partial 16S ribosomal RNA". It matches the Rfam family "Bacterial small subunit ribosomal RNA", at positions 793 to 1055 of the family's 1533-position model. The record is from RNAcentral.